Molecule: unclassified non-coding RNA, 520 nt
Filed under: uncultured Glomus
Lineage: Eukaryota; Fungi; Glomeromycota; Glomeromycetes; Glomerales; Glomeraceae
Description: SSU rRNA
Rfam family: Eukaryotic small subunit ribosomal RNA
Source: RNAcentral
AGCAGCCGCGGUAAUUCCAGCUCCAAUAGCGUAUAUUAAAGUUGUUGCAGUUAAAAAGCUCGUAGUUGAAUUUCGGGACCAAUUUGUUGGUCGUGCCUCGGUACGUACUGGUAUUAUUGGUUUCUCCCUUCUGAAGAACCUCGAUGCCAUUAAUUUGGUGUCGUGGGGAAUCAGGACUGUUACUUUGAAAAAAUUAGAGUGUUUAAGCAAGCAUACGCUUGAAUACAUUAGCAUGGAAUAAUGAAAUAGGACGUUUGAUUCUAUUUUGUUGGUUUUUAGGAUCGACGUAAUGAUUAAUAGGGAUAGUUGGGGGGCAUUAGUAUUCAAUUGUCAGAGGUGAAAUUCUUGGAUUUAUUGAAGACUAACUACUGCGAAAGCAUUUGCCAAGGAUGUUUUCAUUAAUCAAGAACGAAAGUUAGGGGAUCGAAGACGAUCAGAUACCGUCGUAGUCUUAACCAUAAACUAUGCCGACUAGGGAUCGGAUGAUGUUAAUUUUUUAAUGACUCAUUCGGCACCUUAC